This 497-nucleotide ribosomal RNA is filed under the name uncultured bacterium. RNAcentral's name for it is "partial 16S ribosomal RNA". It matches the Rfam family "Bacterial small subunit ribosomal RNA", at positions 28 to 507 of the family's 1533-position model. The record is from RNAcentral.
GACGAACGCUGGCGGCGUGCCUAAUACAUGCAAGUUGAGCGCUGAAGGUUGGUACUUGUACCCACUGGAUGAGCAGCGAACGGGUGAGUAACGCGUGGGGAAUCUGCCUUUGAGCGGGGGACAACAUUUGGAAACGAAUGCUGAUACCGCAUAAAAACUUUAAACACAAGUUUUAAGUUUGAAAGAUGCAAUUGCAUCACUCAAAGAUGAUCCCGCGUUGUAUUAGCUAGUUGGUGAGGUAAAGGCUCACCAAGGCGAUGAUACAUAGCCGACCUGAGAGGGUGGUCGGCCACAUUGGGACUGGGACACGGCCCAAACUCCUACGGGAGGCAGCAGUAGGGAAUCUUCGGCAAUGGACGAAAGUCUGACCGAGCAACGCCGCGUGAGUGAAGAAGGUUUUCGGAUCGUAAAACUCUGUUGGUAGAGAAGAACGUUGGUGAGAGUGGAAAGCUCAUCAAGUGACGGUAACUACCCAGAAAGGGACGGCUAACUACGUG